This is a long non-coding RNA of Raphanus sativus (radish), 509 nucleotides long. RefSeq lists it as uncharacterized. The record is from RefSeq and is a predicted model, not a curated record. NCBI's taxonomy places the organism in Eukaryota, Viridiplantae, Streptophyta, Magnoliopsida, Brassicales, Brassicaceae. The transcript is spliced from 3 exons.
CUUAAUUGCUGUCGGCCCGGCCAGGACACUUCACGCUAACCCGAAUCCAUAUACGUCAAAACAUGUCUGUUCUUCGUUUCACUUUAUUCUGCGGCGAGGUGACGAUCGAGUUCCUCUGAUUUCUCGAAACGGAUUGCGUUAUGGAUUCUAUGUGUUUAAUCCCAUUAAUACAGUCGCCCACUACAAAUUCUUCAAUGCAUGUUUUGCGUUGGCGAGAUAUGUAAUUUCUGGGUAUAAAUACAUAUGUAUUAUUCCGCUGUGACCAGCUUGAUAACAGGCUCAUCUUUUGCCAAAGAUUCUGACUUUCUUCAACAGAUUCAAACAAAGAGGGUUUAUAAGGAUGACACAAAGUGGUCAAGAAGAAACUAUGGCAUCUCAACGUUCCAGUGCUAUGGUUGAUAUCAAUAUAUUGCUGUAUAAGAUCAACUUUGUUAUUCAUUGAAUUUUUAUCCAAACAUCCGUUUGUUUCGUUUUUCGUAAUAAAGUGGGUAAUCUAUAAUAUCGUGAAA